UGCGUAGGCGGGCUAAUAAGUCCGUGGUGAAAUCUCUCGGCUCAACCGGGAAACUGCCAUUGAUACUGUUAGUCUUGAGUUCGGUUGAGGUAGGCGGAAUGUGUAAUGUAGCGGUGAAAUGCUUAGAUAUUACACAGAACACCAAUUGCGUAGGCAGCUUACUAGACCGACACUGACGCUGAGGCACGAAAACGUGGGGAGCGAACAGGAUUAGAUACCCUGGUAGUCC
Molecule: ribosomal RNA, 229 nt
Filed under: uncultured bacterium
Lineage: Bacteria
Description: partial 16S ribosomal RNA
Rfam family: Bacterial small subunit ribosomal RNA
Source: RNAcentral